This is a non-coding RNA of Vicia faba (fava bean), 312 nucleotides long. NCBI's taxonomy places the organism in Eukaryota, Viridiplantae, Streptophyta, Magnoliopsida, Fabales, Fabaceae. The record is from the annotation of a GenBank genome assembly.
CCUUUACCUUUCAAUCUUCAAAUCCCUUCCAUCAACAACUUCAUCACCUACCCAGUUGAGAAAACUGGAUCCCUUCUCCAAUUGAUUCUUGUAAUUCCUCCAGCCCCAAAACUUUUUCCCAACAUUGACACUAUUCCGAUAUGUAACCGUACGCAUCACACACUCUUCUUGGCACCAACAAUUCAUUCUUUUGUUUCUUAUCACCACAACCAAAUGACCCGCCACUUUGGGUGUUUCAUUUUGAGAAAUUACUGGAGUUUAUUGACAUCUUCAAGGAAGCUUCGUAGAAAUCGUUUACGUGAACAAAGAUGA